RNAcentral lists this unclassified non-coding RNA (606 nucleotides) under uncultured Russula. Its description in RNAcentral is "sequence contains ITS1, 5.8S rRNA gene and ITS2". The stretch from base 156 to 309 matches the Rfam family "5.8S ribosomal RNA". Lineage: Eukaryota; Fungi; Basidiomycota; Agaricomycetes; Russulales; Russulaceae. The record is from RNAcentral.
GCGCCCGAGUGCCCUCACACACAUCCCUCUCACCCCUAUGUGCACCACCGCGUGGGUCCCCCUUUGGCUUGUUCGGAGGGGGGCUUACGUUUUCACACAAACUUUGUAUGCAGUGUAGAAUGUAUUUUUUGUUUUUGCGAUCACGCAAUCAAUACAACUUUCAACAACGGAUCUCUUGGCUCUCGCAUCGAUGAAGAACGCAGCGAAAUGCGAUACGUAAUGUGAAUUGCAGAAUUCAGUGAAUCAUCGAAUCUUUGAACGCACCUUGCGCCCCUUGGCAUUCCGAGGGGCACACCCGUUUGAGUGUCGUGAAAUUCUCAAAAACCUUUUUCUUUUUGGGAAAGGGUUUUUGGACUUGGAGGCUUUUUGCUGGCUUCACCUUGAAGUGAGCUCCUCCUAAAUGAAUCAGUGGGGUCCGCUUUGCCGAUCCUUGACGUGAUAAGAUGUUUCUGCGUCUUUGGGUUUGGCACUGUCACCUGCUUCUAACUGUCUCAUUGACAAUGAUGGUGCUCCGGUCACCACCGCUCUUAUCGGUGGGAGGCUUGACCCACAAAAACAAAACCUUGACCUCAAAUCGGGUGAGACUACCCGCUGAACUUAAGCAUA